Molecule: ribosomal RNA, 163 nt
Filed under: uncultured bacterium
Lineage: Bacteria
Description: partial 16S rRNA
Rfam family: Bacterial small subunit ribosomal RNA
Source: RNAcentral
UAGGGAAUCUUCCACAAUGGGCGCAAGCCUGAUGGAGCAACACCGCGUGAGUGAAGAAGGGUUUCGGCUCGUAAAGCUCUGUUGUUAAGAAGAACACGUAUGAGAGUAACUGUUCAUACGUUGACGGUAUUUAACCAGAAAGUCACGGCUAACUACGUGCCAG